Molecule: ribosomal RNA, 466 nt
Filed under: uncultured bacterium
Lineage: Bacteria
Description: partial 16S ribosomal RNA
Rfam family: Bacterial small subunit ribosomal RNA
Source: RNAcentral
GAUGAACGCUGGCGGCGUGCUUAACACAUGCAAGUCGAACGGAAAGGCUCCUGCUUGCAGGGGUACUCGAGUGGCGAACGGGUGAGUAACACGUGGGUGAUCUGCCCUGCACUUCGGGAUAAGCCUGGGAAACUGGGUCUAAUACCGGAUCGGACGAUGGUUUGGAUGCCAUUGUGGUAAGUUUUUUCGGUGUGGGAUGAGCUCGCGGCCUAUCAGCUUGUUGGUGGGGUAAUGGCCUACCAAGGCGUCGACGGGUAGCCGGCCUGAGAGGGUGUACGGCCACAUUGGGACUGAGAUACGGCCCAGACUCCUACGGGAGGCAGCAGUGGGGAAUAUUGCGCAAUGGGCGCAAGCCUGAUGCAGCGACGCCGCGUGGGGGAUGACGGCCUUCGGGUUGUAAACUCCUUUCGCUAGGGACGAAGCGCAAGUGACGGUACCUGGAGAAGAAGCACCGGCUAACUACGUG